RNAcentral lists this small nuclear RNA (107 nucleotides) under Sorex araneus (European shrew). The record is from RNAcentral. Lineage: Eukaryota; Metazoa; Chordata; Mammalia; Eulipotyphla; Soricidae.
GUGCUCGCUUUGGCAGCACAUGUACUAGAAUUGGAACGAUACAGAGAAGAUUAACAUGGCCCCUGCACAAGGAUGACACGCAAAUUCGUGAAGUGUUUCAUAAUUUU